RNAcentral lists this ribosomal RNA (348 nucleotides) under Triticum aestivum (bread wheat). Its description in RNAcentral is "partial small subunit ribosomal RNA". Lineage: Eukaryota; Viridiplantae; Streptophyta; Magnoliopsida; Poales; Poaceae. The record is from RNAcentral.
AUGUCAUUUCAUGACAAAAUUUUGGUCGGACCUUGCGCAUGUAAGCAUAUUGAACCCCAAACAAUUUCAGAUUUUUUUGAUUUUGUUUUGAUUUUUUUGAAUUUACUAUUCAUCAGGCAGAUAUUUUUGUUUUUUUACCACGAGCUCCUUGAGUGCCGAAAGAGAACGAAAUUUUGUUCACAUCUUGUGUACGCAAGCAUAUUCGACCUCAAAAAAUUUCAGAUUUUCUUGAUUUUUUUUAUUUUUUUGUCAAAUUUACUGUUCAUCGGGCGGUUUUGUUGCGGUCAAAACCGGUCAACGUGCUCAAAAUCUGGUUUAGGACCAAACUUAUCCGGUUUUGAGACUUGA